RNAcentral lists this ribosomal RNA (328 nucleotides) under uncultured eukaryote. RNAcentral's name for it is "partial 18S ribosomal RNA". It matches the Rfam family "Eukaryotic small subunit ribosomal RNA", at positions 1470 to 1796 of the family's 1831-position model. The record is from RNAcentral.
CCCUUAGAUGUCCUGGGCCGCACGUGCGUUACACUGAUGCAUUCAACGAGCUUAUAACCUUGGCCGAGAGGCCUGGGCAAUCUUGUUAACGUGCAUCGUGAUAGGGAUAGAUUAUUGAAAUUAUUAAUCUUGAACGAGGAAUUCCUAGUAAACGCAGAUCAUCAAUCUGCAUUGAUUACGUCCCUGCCCUUUGUACACACCGCCCGUCGCACCUACCGAUUGGAUGGUCCGGUGAAGCCUCGGGAUUGUGGUUCUUGCCGCUUUAUUGUGGCGUGACCGCGAGAACUUGUCUAAACCUUAUCAUCUAGAGGAAGGUGAAGUCGUAACA